Molecule: long non-coding RNA, 207 nt
Filed under: Prunus persica (peach)
Lineage: Eukaryota; Viridiplantae; Streptophyta; Magnoliopsida; Rosales; Rosaceae
Description: long non-coding RNA (PPER_LNC008201)
Source: RNAcentral
GCUUUAAUUUUAUUGUCCUUAGAGAGGGACACAAUGCUUAUUUUAGCAUGAGCUUGUAUUUUAUAACUUUAUCCUAGUUUCUGACAUGACAAAUUAUUUAUUUAGCAUGGAACGUGGGCUGUGACUUAUAUAUGACUAGCUUUCAUGUACUCUGAUAUGUGACUUUUCUUAAUAAGUUAUCGUAUUUGGGAAGAACCGUGAAUUUUU